Xyrichtys novacula (pearly razorfish) is the source of this 239-nucleotide non-coding RNA. Lineage: Eukaryota; Metazoa; Chordata; Actinopteri; Labriformes; Labridae. The record is from the annotation of a GenBank genome assembly.
GGUGGCCGCGAACUGCCACUGCUGCAAAUAAAAAAGAAUGCAAAAAAAAGAAGUCACAACAGAAGUGACUGAUGCAACAAAAAAAGAAACCAAAGCUUGCUGCAAAUUAAAAAAGAAACUGCACUUUGGUUUCUUUUCUUUCUUUUUUUUUUGCACUGGUAACUUCCCUUGUGACUUCUUUUUUUUUUUUUUUUUUUUUUGCAUUCUCUUAUUUGCAGCAGUGGCUGUUCUUGGCUACC